Molecule: RNA transcript, 4011 nt
Organism: Mercurialis annua (annual mercury)
Lineage: Eukaryota; Viridiplantae; Streptophyta; Magnoliopsida; Malpighiales; Euphorbiaceae
Gene name: protein FRIGIDA-ESSENTIAL 1
Exons: 6
Source: RefSeq, a predicted model, not a curated record
AAUUAACAAAUAUAACGAUUAAAAAAAAAGGGUCGAACGAAAUAAAAAAUAAAAAACGCCCGUAAGGCCGUAACACAAAAAGCAAUGCGGCCACCACCGGAAUCGUCGUCCGCCGGCGCCGCGCGCUCCGUCGAUCACAACCGCACUUCUCCUCCUCCCAAUCGACGCGCGACAGUCUCCGAUUUCGAACUCGAUGAUAACGAAGCUGAAGAAGAAGAAGAAAACGGCGAAGAUAAUGACGAUGGCGUGGAAGAAGAAGAAGAAUACGAAGAGAUAGAAGUAGAAGAAUACGAAGAGAUUAUAGAAGAGAUUGAAGUCGAAGUUGACGACGACGACGAUGAAGAAGAAGAAGAAGUAGAAGAAGAUGAUGAAGAAGAAGAUCAACCGUUGGAUUCAACAAAAGAAUUUGAUCAGAAAUCAAACGAUGUUAGUCAACACAUGGAGUUUGUGGGGGAGGAAAUCCAACUGAAUUCACAUUCUACUCUUGGGAAAUCAGAGCUGAGGCUUCCAUCUAGCUCUCUUCUAGAAAAUCAUGUUGAUAGUUCCAAAGUUUCUGGUCCUUCAUGUGAACCAAUAAUGAUGCAGGAGGAAUCAUUUGUAAACUAUCCUGAGGCGAGAUCAGGAGAUCACUCGAUGAAUGAUGAUUCUCGAGUUAUGCUUAUGAACAACUUUAAAAGAAACAACGAACCCAAUUGUGAUGGAAAAUCUCCGAUUUCUAAUAGUCACGUUAUGGCUGCUGAGACCAGCAGUCCAAUUAAUAUCACGAAAAAUGAGGUAUCUGAUGCCUUAGUUAUGAAAGUGGGCAUAAAUAUGGAAGCCAAUGGUAUUCUAGAUAUGAAUGAAGAAGAUGAGGCAACGGAAAUGCAACCAGAAGAUGACAAAAAGCUAUCUGUGUCAAGGACACGAAGUCUUUCUCCUUCCCCUGACUUGAAGGAUUCAAAUAAACGGCCAGCAGUUAUAUGUGAUUUUUUUGCCAAAGGAUGGUGCAUUAAAGGGAGUUCAUGUAGGUUUCUUCAUGUAAACAAUAAAGCGGAUAACGCUGAAGAACAGCUUGAGGGAGAGACAGCUGCCACAAGUAUCUCGAAAGGAUACCAGUUCAAUGAAGGUUUGAGAAACACUGAGGAAAAUCCAAAGCUGCCUGGUUUCCUUAAUCUAAAGGCUUCUUCCAUUCAUUUCUCUACAGAAAAGAACUUGGAACCUCAGAAUGGAGACACCCAAAGGUUUCAGCCAUUGGAUGACAAACAUGCAUCUUUAUCUCUUAAGAGAUGUCUCCAACCUGUCACCCAUCAAUUUUCUUCAUCCAAAGAUGAUCUGGGAUUUUCUUUUUCUUUGAAGGAUUUAGCUACAGAGAACAUAGGAAGAGCUGAAUAUGGGAGCUAUGUUUUUCCAAUUAGUAAUGGUAGCUCUGCUUCAUUUCAGAACAGCUUACUUCCUGAACAUAGAUCUUCUUCUAGUGGCUCAGCUGCAACAUCGGGCAAUUACCGCAGUGGUAAUCCCUCUUCAUUUUUAAAUACUUUGAAUACUUCAAUGUAUAUUAGAGGUCACUAUACGCAAGCUUCAAUCCUGGAUAAUUCUAUUUCUAGUACGCAUCACAUCUCUUCAAGGAUAGGACCAUCAUUUGCUUGUAGUUCCUCUUUGAAUUCAAGUCCUUUUGGUCAAAAACUGUUUGACAAUGAUAGGGCCUACUCUAGACCAUCUUCGUUGCUGCAAAGUGCUUCCCCGCUUUUGGGUUCUGGGCGAGAAAAUUUACAUGUAACCAGUAUAUCUGGGGAUCCAUUGUUCUGUGCUGAACAUAAAGCAAAAAAUUCUUCAAGUCACUGGGAACCGUCUAUACCUUUCCGACCAUCUUUUUUUAUAACUCCAAUACCAGCAUCAUCUCCAGGAAGCCUGUAUGACCCUCUUCACGAUAGUAUUGAUUUACCCAGUACUGGAUACAGACUUCCGUUCAAGUUUUCUUUUGUUAGCCAAGGGACAUCCAGUCGCAAUACGUCGAAGCAACUCGCAUAUGGCAACUCAUUAGUAAAUCAGGUCCUCAACCCAGAAUGCAACAACGACAAACAUAAAGAGUCCAUUCAUAGUGAAUUCCAAGAAAAUGUGGAGGACAAUAAUCACUGUACACUCAGAAAAGAUAUAAUUGUUACUGGAGCAGUGACAGGAGGAUCUUGUGUUGUAGAUGGGAAAAAGAGGACCAUGCCCAAGGAAGAAAAUGCUUCUAGCACUAGUCAUUUCAGGGACAUUCCAAGUACUAGCAAAAUUGAUGCUGAUUGUGAUUCUAGGAACCAAAAUGAUGGGCCAAAACGCAAAAAAGAUGUCAAGGUAGAUAGGGGUAGGCAAAUUAAUGAUAUGGAAGUCGACCAAAAGAUAGAUGGAGAAUCAAGAGCUUUGAAACAUUUUCGUGUAGCUACCAUUGAUUUUGUUAAAGAAUUAUUAAAACCAACCUGGCGUGAGGGUCAUCUCAGCAAGGAUGCACAUAACACAAUAGUUAAAAAAGCAGUUGACAAGAUUCUGAGCACCUUGCCACCCCAUCAAAUUCCAAGCACAGUGGAAUUGUCUAAGCAAUACCUUUUUUUCUCCCAACCUAAAAUUGCAAAGCUUGUUGAGGCAUAUUGUGUAAAGUAUGGAAAAUCUUGACACGCCAGGCGAAGACAUGUUCCCUUUCUUAGUGUAUUGUACAGUUCUCCUAUGCAUUCUUGUGUUUGGAGUCUUUAGACGCAACAGUAUGUCUGAGGCUCAUUUUACAUUGUUAGAAUUGAGACUCUGGUGGAAUGUCAGGUCAUGAAUUUCGACGUAAUAAUAUUUUAGUGGAUGGCCGUGUUCCCCUCUUCAUGUCUGGUCCUUUUGGAAUAAGUCAUGAAGUUUAGAUCUGCAUUUAGUUUUAUAGCAUUGUCUUAGAAGUAUAGAUGCUUAACUCAACAGAAUUACUAAUUAUAAGCCUUGAUGUUGCAGUAACGUGCAUUUAUAAGUUUAGUCUAGUUCUGAAUUUGUUUUUUCUUAGCCUCUCUCAGGCCUGCUUGGUGCAUUGUUUUUUUUUUAUAUAUAUAUUUGAGAGAAAAAACACAAGGGAUCCAAAUUCAAGUGCGUGUUGUUCAGCAGUUCUUUUCAAAGGGUUUGACUAUGUUGUUUUCUCAUGUGGGCCUGGAAUGCCUCUAUGCUUAUGUGUUUCAAAUACUUACAAACUUACUCCUUGAAGACAACAAUACGAGGGGUUGAUGGAGAGUUGGUGCAUAUUGCAUGUAUAUGACGCAGUUGGACAUGAGGACAUGAGGAGAUAUUUAUGAAGCAAGGUACUACUUUUCUUUUGCAUAUGACUUAAUUUUGAGAAAAUACAGUUCAGAAUUCUUUCCAUCAAGAUUGACCAGGUUUUCAACCAUGAAAGUUCAGGAUUUGAAACCACUAGAGAUAAGGAUUCAGCUUCAUAAGUUGGCCCCAUCAGUAAUAUGAAUCAUCAACCCAUCACAUCUCAUCCAUUCAAGUGUUAGAAAGGUUUCUUUGAGAAUGGUUACGAUGAAGGUGAGGUGUUGAACCUCAUUUAAGUGUUCCUGGUUAAUUCUGGAUUCAAACAUGGUGAUCCCAUUUUACCUUCUUUCUGCAUCCUUAAACCUGUGAUAUCCCGGGGGGGAGGGAUGGUGUGGGGGCAGUCAUAACAGAGGGAGAGGGGGUUCAAUACAGUCUGACAGCAAAAUGUCAUUGGUUCUUGAGGGGGUCACUAGAGGGUUCGUGGGUAAAAAAACUCACUGCCGGAGAGAAGAAACAUAAAAUAUGAUGCAAAGAAGAAUGGUUGGAAACAGAAAAAAUAGCAACAAGCAUUCAUAGUAUUGUGAAUUAUUAUUAUCCCCUUGACGGCUGAGAUAGAGGUUAGAAUCUGGUCAUGUUUCAUUCUCGUUUUUAAUCUGUAUUGUAUUCGAGUGUUCUUCCUCAACCCAAACUUUCUGAUGCUGGUAACAGCCUUCCCAUAAUCUGAUUUGUACUCAUACAAUUAAAGGAUUAUAAGAUGAUACAACUUUGUGUUAA